Molecule: long non-coding RNA, 811 nt
Filed under: Triticum aestivum (bread wheat)
Lineage: Eukaryota; Viridiplantae; Streptophyta; Magnoliopsida; Poales; Poaceae
Description: long non-coding RNA (TAES_LNC015158)
Source: RNAcentral
UCUUUUUCAAGAACUGAUCCUGUAAUACAUACUGAAUGGCCACACAUGUAUGAUAUAAUGAACUAUAGGGCCUUAAAAGUGUGAUGAGAGUACAUUUUAUAAAGCUCCACAAGAUCACAUGAAGCCUCUGCCAAAUGAAAUAUACAAAAUACUGACAAAAAUUCACACUUUUGCACAAAGGGCAUACUUUUGAACAUGCUCGAUGACACCCACUGAACUUGCGCAAUUGACUGGUGGGAGCAAGCAACAACUUUGAAGUAUGCAAAGGCAUCUUGUUUCUCCAGAAAAAAGCAGGGGCACAUCUCCAUAUCAAUAAAUAGUUGCUGAUCCAUCAGUGAGCAUGCAUCACAAAGAAAAUGUUGAAAGAAAAACCAGGUGGACCGGGUGGACCAGCUACAACUCCUCCUCUGGACUGAUUGCUACGGCGAGGUGGAGCUGAUGGAGGCGGAGAUCACAAGCGGCACUGGGAUUUGGCCACUACAGGGAAUCCCAGCGACUACCAAGCCAUCCUUGAUGUACUAAUUAUGGUGAUGUAUUUUGUACUGCCAAAACACCUGCAAGAUGAACUGAAGGGGAGCGUCGUCACCUGCAAGCUGAACUGAAAAUGCCGGCUAAGGGGACCUGAAGAAUCACCAAAUGUUGAACUGAAUAUACACAAGUGAAGGAGCAUGAACGUACACGGUAGCUCUAUGUGUACACAACAAUAACUGAGCAUAUAUGUCUAAGAUGAAGGGUAACACACCUCAAGAUAGCAAUGGACUUCCAAUAUUCAUCUUUUUGAGCUGCUGCCUUUUAUUUUAUUUUUUGCAUC